GGGCAGGAGGCGAAUGUUGGUUGGUCGCGCCAGCCUGUAAAGCUGGAGCCAUUGUGGCCGUCGUGGGUUCAAUUCCCACUCUGCUCU
This 87-nucleotide transfer RNA is filed under the name Alphaproteobacteria bacterium. RNAcentral's name for it is "tRNA-Tyr". It matches the Rfam family "tRNA". Rfam says of the family: Transfer RNA (tRNA) molecules are approximately 80 nucleotides in length. Lineage: Bacteria; Pseudomonadati; Pseudomonadota; Alphaproteobacteria. The record is from RNAcentral.